CAGUAGCCGCGGUAAUACAGAGGGUGCGAGCGUUAAUCGGAUUUACUGGGCGUAAAGCGUGCGUAGGCGGCUUCUUAAGUCGGAUGUGAAAUCCCUGAGCUUAACUUAGGAAUUGCAUUCGAUACUGGGAAGCUAGAGUAUGGGAGAGGAUGGUAGAAUUCCAGGUGUAGCGGUGAAAUGCGUAGAGAUCUGGAGGAAUACCGAUGGCGAAGGCAGCCAUCUGGCCUAAUACUGACGCUGAGGUACGAAAGCAUGGGGAGCAAACAGGAUUAGAUACCCCAGUAGUCCCUGUCUCUUAUCC
RNAcentral lists this ribosomal RNA (301 nucleotides) under uncultured bacterium. RNAcentral's name for it is "partial 16S ribosomal RNA". It matches the Rfam family "Bacterial small subunit ribosomal RNA", at positions 509 to 809 of the family's 1533-position model. The record is from RNAcentral.